RNAcentral lists this ribosomal RNA (119 nucleotides) under Lepisosteus oculatus (spotted gar). The record is from RNAcentral. Lineage: Eukaryota; Metazoa; Chordata; Actinopteri; Semionotiformes; Lepisosteidae.
AACUGCAGCCAUAUCACUCUGCAACUCACAAAUGGCAACCCACUGAAGCUAAGCAGGGGUGAGCCCGGUCAGUACCUGGAUGUGAGACCUCCUGGGAAAAACUAAGGUUGCUGCUAGAA